RNAcentral lists this long non-coding RNA (677 nucleotides) under Homo sapiens (human). RNAcentral describes it as "HSALNT0309137". Lineage: Eukaryota; Metazoa; Chordata; Mammalia; Primates; Hominidae. The record is from RNAcentral.
CUCAGAGACACCCAGGACUUCAGGGUUGACUGGUAAAUGUAGCCUAGCUGAAAGUCAGGAAGAAAAGGAAUGGAAUGUCUGAUGGAUAGCUUGCGGUCUUUGUCACAGACACCAGACUAUAGAAAGUAUGAUUCCCAUUUAACAGUAAUGAAAGCUGGCUGAGCAAAAACCCAGAGCAUAAUUUCUCACUGGCUGGCUGCUCCAGAUAGUAAUAGCUUCAGUGCCCUUCAGAGUGGAAUUUUCCUGAGCCUGUGAAGAUGUGUGAGGUGUACCCAGCAGGGCAUGAGAGCCACCACCGAGGAAGAAAAGAGAAAACUGCCUCUUCAUUCAUGCGUUUAUCUGGAAAGGGUGACCACUGCCAAUUCCGUCGUGUGACAGGAUCUAGUGUCUCUGCACAGCAUAAACAGAAACAGUCAAGGGGGAGAGGUGGAAUACAACCCGAGGCCGCAGGGUGGUAUGGUGUGGUUGUCACCGAAGUGCAGGCAUCCUUAACCAAAGGACAGGCCACACUGGUGGGCUGGAGAGGACUGCAGGCAGGGUGGAUUUAAAAUUAUGUUUUAAAUUACAUCCUCUUUUCAAUUCUUUUAAUCCUCAGAAGAAUCAAGGCAAGCCUCAGUUAAUCAGUAGCAUGGUUCAUGGUUUUAAUGGUUCUCUGGUAUUUGCCAAUCUUCCUUUUU